This is a long non-coding RNA of Vespa mandarinia (Asian giant hornet), 7673 nucleotides long. NCBI's taxonomy places the organism in Eukaryota, Metazoa, Arthropoda, Insecta, Hymenoptera, Vespidae. The record is from RefSeq and is a predicted model, not a curated record.
AUGCAACCACGCCUAUACUCUCCAAUGCCAUCUAACAAUUUCUUCUACAAAUACAAACUCGAUGAAGAAACAAUGGCGCUGUUCUUACUAAAAGUGUAAGGUUAAGAUACCUUAAUUUUAUAUUCAAUGUUUAUUUUAAAAGUAAAUUUAUAAAUAAGUUUAAUCCUAUAACUUUUUAAAGUGAUGUACUUUCGUUGUGUGUAACAAAUAUGUCAAAUUAAUACUAAUAUUCAAGAAAAUCAUUUGCAUAACCAUACUAUCUAUAUUUGUAGAUGAAUCAUAAAAUGAUAUUUUAUUCGUAAUGUAUUUGUUGCGAAUUAUUCGAUAUCAACAACAGGCUAUUUUUUCGCUAACUGCAAGAGAAUCGUUUCUAAGUAAUCUAUUCAAAGGAGACUAGUUCAAUUCUUGCACAAUUCAAGAUAGACUUCAACUCUAUAUUUAAAAUAUCUAUUAAAGAGGAACACAAGAAAUAAAAGAUUCUAUCAGACAUUUAUAAAGUUGGUUGGGAAAUAUUGGAAACAGAUGCAAUUUAUAUAUUCAAGAUAAAAGUGAAAUAAGUGACAUGCGAGGCAAUUAAACAACAUAAUAAGAAGAGAGAAUAGUGAUGGUACCAUUCCAUCAUUUUCAUUUCAAUGGAAAUACUUUUUGGAGUAUCUGUAUCCACAUAUUUGGCAGUUAUUGAUUUCUUUCUCACACCCUAAUCGUCGCUCCGUUAAAUAUUUGGAUACCACAAUUUAUUGGGAAUAUUAUGAAUUCAGUAUAUUCAGGAAUAUAUUCAGGAAUAUCAUAAAAAUCAGUAUUGUCAAAGAUAUUCCAAAAUAAAGGAAAUGAUUCUACAAGGAAUACUUUGGAAAUCCUUCUGAGUUCAACAUUUAUGUUGGCACAUGUAUAUGUAAGAACGUUGCAGCAGAAAACAGAGAAACAACGGUAUUUUCUAAAGAAGUUGAACAUGCAUCUGAGUUAUAUGUGAAUGUAGACGAUUUGAUAUUGGUUUGUAUCAAGCAAGAAUAAAUUUGUUUUUAAAUAGUAUUCUGCUUUAUACAUUGUACUUUGCUGGUCAUUUAAUGUCAAUUGGGCAAUUAACGUGCGGCGAUCUUAUGGCAUUUUUGAUAGCAAUUCAAAUAGUUCAAAGAUCUCUCUCUCUCUCUCUCUCUCUCUCUCUUUUUCUCUCUUUCUCUCUCUCUCUCUCUUUCUCUCUCUUUCUCUCCCUCUCUCUCCCUCUCUUUCUCUCCCUCUCUCUUUCAGGGAAUAUAGAAUUUAAAAAUGUAAAAUUUAGCUAUUCAACUCGGCCAGAUCACAUUAUUUUGAAAAAUUUUAAUUUGAAAAUUCCCACUGAUAAAACAGUUGCUAUUGCAGGUUCUAAUGGGAAUGGUUAAUCAACCAUUGCCGAAUUGUUAUAACAAUAUAUUUUAUAGGAAGCCGCAUAAUGCCAUCUAUUCAGAAAUUCUGGGAUUCGCUAAUAUAUAAAUAUCAUUCUAGGUAUAUUUUUAUGUCAUUUAUUGUAUUAAAUUUUUUGUCGCGAAGAGAAUUUUUUUAAUCAAAGGAAUAAAUAGUAAUAUCUUCAAAAAUGAAUCUUUGGAUUCAUAUCACAUGUCAAAAUACGAUUAAGGAAAUUGCUCUCUGUCAAUUGAUGCCGGAAUUCCUACUUCAGAGGGAUUGACGUAGCCGAUCUUUGUAAGAUUAUCAUGCACCAUCGUUCGCGCAAUGUUUAAGGUAUCCGGCAAUUCACAAAUCGCGGAUUUUUAACCAUGGCCUUGAUUAGUUCCGUAUACGUAGUGGAUAGGCAGUGGCUGCGUUCUUCAUCUUCCAGUUCCAAAACUCCUUAACCAACUGUGAACUGUCAAAAUCACACCCAUGCAUGGUGUAAAUCUUAUUUGUGAUUUUAUGAUAUCAACGAGAAAAUAAUGAUGUCGAUAAUCAAUAUUUCUAUUGAUAAAUGAAAUAUUAGAUCUCUUAGAGGUACUAUAUUAGUGUAUAUAAAUCAAGAAUACAUGCUUUUUUGCAACUAAUAUAAUAAGGAGAAUAAUAAAUAUGAGAAGCAAGAUACGAUUGGUGAGAAGGCGAAUAAUAAUGUGUGAAUAAAAAUUUUAAUAUUUUAUCAAACUAUUUCAUUAUAUAUUAUGCAUCAUUUAAUAUACCAGAUAAUAAAAGCGACAGAAAAAGCUAAUGCUAAUGAACUUAUUACAAAAUUUUCAAAUGGUUAUGAAACCCAUAUUGACGAGACAAGUGGUCAAUUAUUUAUUAUGGUGAACAAAAACUGCCAUUACUAGAGCAUUAGUAAAGUAAUCGUCAAUUUUAAUAUUAAAAGAAGCAAGCGCAAUGGAUUAUGAAAGUAGAAGCGCUAUGAAUUAUAAAAGUAGAAGCGCAAUGGAUUCAGAAAGCAGUAGAAAAUAUAACCAGAGAUAGAAUAGUAUUAGUUAUUGAUCACAGACAAAGUAUUAUUCAAUCGAGUGAUAUUUUUGUUGGAUUUCAACAAGGUGUUACGUAGAGUUUAUGCAAAGAAAAUAUACGAAAUAGAUUUUGGAAACUAAAACCAUUAAAUACGAUCAAAGAUAAAUAACAAGACUGAAACGUGAAAUUCAAAAUCAAUAAUGCGUUUUAAUAUUUUUUUAGAAAACUGUAGAAAAGUAUAAAACGUAAUAAAAAAAAUAUAAAAAAUAAUAAAGAAGUAAAAAAUAAUAACAAUAAAAUAAUAUAAUUACGAACAAAUUCAGAUCGGUAAAUAGCAAAUAAUAACGGAAAACAAGGGAACAUGUUGCUAAUGUUAAAAUAGGGGAUCUCCCCGAUCGGUCAUGCAGCUACUUACUUUAAAGUUGGGAGAUCUCCCCAUUCGGUUGGCUAAAUGUUAAAUAUAAUUUAAACGUUAAUUUAAUAAUUGAAUGAUGCAAAUUUUCUUUAAAUUAAUUUAAAAAUCUAAAUUUUCAAUGUCAAAAUAAAUUGAAAUUUUUUUUGUCGAUAACUACGAUUAAAGUGACGAGUAAAAUAAAAACCUACAUGUUUAUUCCGUUAUUUUAGUCACUUUCGUAUUACAAUAGUUUUUUAUUAUUUAGAAUUUUCUUUUAGUCAUGAUAGUUAUUUAUAGUACUCGUACCAUAUUAUUAUGACAUAUAUCAUGAUAAUAACAAAUAUGGACACCAAUGCGAUCCAUGAGUUUUUGCAGCAUAGACCUUCCCCUCUGCUGCUCCCGGAUCUAUAAAGUCGGUACCACAAGCGAAUAUAAUGGAUGCUGAUAAUGAAAAAACAUGGUUUAAAUACCUGUCAGUUGCCGAAGAAGAUGUUUGGCCAAGCAUGGAAUGUUCACCGUUCGUCGUUGAUGUUUGGUCGGAUGAAUCGAAACUACCCGUCAUUGUAUUCAUUUCGAUUACAUCUCGCACUGACUGUUUGGCUGGAUGAGUUAGUUGGACACUGAUACUGAGAUGGAUGAACUUAGUUUGACGCGAAUUGCUCGAUGUAAAGUACUUACGAACGUCUGAUUCGUACGGCGUACUGCGAGCAAAUGACGAAAAGGGCAGGUCGUCAACGCAUCUCGCAAACGCAGUCGUCCUUCCCACGGGAAUGGUACCGUUGCGUCGAUUGGGGUAGGGGUAUCACUAGGUGGAUCAGAGUAGGGGUACGUGAUGGUGGGUGAAGCUUUCAGAGCUUGCCUUCUAUCUAUAGCUAGAAAUGUUCGUGAUAAAAAAAAAAGUUUCUUUCCUGUGGUCGAACCAAUCCGUCGUUCCUUCAUUGUUCUCCAAUGGCUGGAAUACUUUCAUUUCGAGAAAAUUCACCUCAUCCGGCGUUGACGUCAAAGCUUUGGCGUAAUCUCGAAUAUCAAAGAAGGAAAAUAGAAUAAUACGUAUUUACGCAUCUAUAUAUCUAUUUUUUGUGUUAUGAGUACAUAUUAAAAUGCGUAACGAUCAAGUUCACCGGAAUUAUACCAAUUAUACCAGAAUUAUAAACGGCUUCAAGAAUUUUUGAAGUGCUUCUUGAGAAUAUUAUAAAUCGACGUUCAGAAUUUAAAGACAAUGCAUUUCCUUUUCAAGCAUCGUACUUAUUUUGAAAUAAUACGAAGAAGAAGAAGAGAAAAUUUAUAAUGGCCAAUGACAACGUACUUUGACGAUAUAGGCUAAUACGGCGUAAUUUCAAGAAAAAUUCAAAUGGUGGAGCGAGAAAAUAGAAUACAUUCUUCAAAGGAUAGAAAGAUGGACAGCUUCAGUUAGAGGAUACGAUAGAUUUACGUCAGAAAAGAUUAUCGAAGGGUCAUCAGUUGACGAUGCACGACGAUCAGCGUGUAUCAAGUUGUACUAUUACUUCGAACAAACUUAUCAUUGAGAAUUCUUCUUAGGGUCUUCUAUGCUUUCAAAGGAAGUCGAUUAAGUUAUUAGAUGUCGUAUCACAAAGAGGAAAUGAAGAACAAUUAUAAUGUUGACAGUGUUCUUGGAUAUCGAUCUAAUGAUAAUUUGGAUAGCCUUUUGUUAAAAAAAUUGUAAAUAUGAUCAUAGUAUUUAUUUUAAAACCAUCGGUGGAAUUAUAAAUGAUAAAAAAAAUCGUAAAAAAAUUAACGAUGAUUCUAAAAAGAGAAAAUUUGUUAAUCAAUGCUGAAGUAAAAGAAUUGAACAAUGAAGAUUCCAGAGAUAAAUUUAAUUCUAGUCAAAAGGAUGUUGGUGUCUGGCCUAUCAUCGAUUUAGCAAAUGUCGAUUUUUUUUAUCGAAAAUAUCUAACACGGCGUAUCGACGAAGAUUAAAUGGAUGAUCAAUAAUAAUAAAAAAAAAAACAAAAAAAAAAAAUAAUAAUAAUAAUAAUAAUAAUAAUGAUAAUAAUAAUAAUAAUAAUAUUAUGAAAAUGGUACGGAGAAUAGGAAUGAUUAUGAGAGAAGUAGGUUUAAUCAUGAAUUAAAAAAUGAGUUGAGAAAGAAUCAGAAUGAAACUAUGAAUUUAAAGAUGCUUAAAUCUGUGGGGACAAUUAAUUGAUUUAUUGUUUGGUAAGAUAAUAAUGUUUGUCCGGGAAUACUUUUAAAUGAUACGAAAAAUCUUCUGUCCAUGUAUUCGUUACCGUGUUAACGUUUAUUUAAUAUGAAAUUCUAUAUUUCCAAACGUUUUUUCCAAUACUCAUCACAUAUGUCAUACGAUAUCUGUUUCAUGGACUCUCUUUUUAAAAGAUAUACCAAAGAGAUAUACCAAAAGGAACGAAAUAGACGUUAGCAUAGAUCAAAUUUCUACUCAUCAAUUGUUAAAGGGAAUUAGAUUUCUACAUACAUAAUAUAUUUCGAAUUCUACAUACUGCCACCCGUUUUUUCACAUCUCUUCAUUUGAUUUGUUUUAUCGUUCUUUCCUAUCGUAUCGUUGAAUAUGCAGGGAAACCGCGCUUGCGUUCUUCCGCGUCUGCGUCCUGCGUAGGGGCGCGCGGAAUUGUAUGCAUGUGUACAAAUGUUUCUCUUUCAGAAGAUUCUUAAGAAAUUUAAUUACGAAGAUAAACCUUUCCACUUGUUUCUCCUCUCACCAAAUCAUAAUAUACAAUUUGACAAUAAAAUCAUAUUAUCUGCAUCAUUUAAUUACCUCUAAUUACUUCAUAUGUCAUUAAUUUUGUUCUUUUUAUUAUUACAUUUCUAUAAAAAUUUACGAUGGAUAUGGGUAUGGAGAAUGAUGAUCGAUACGAGAUAUAUAUAAAGGAGAAAAAAAAAAGAAAAAAGAAUUAUUGUUAACAGAUUAAUAUUUCUAAUGAUUUAAUGCGUAAUUUAUAUUUAGAUUUGAAAAAUAUCGUAAUAGUUAAACGGUCCAUGUUUUGAUAAAAAAAUCAAGGAUGAGAGCUGAUGGCAUGAGAGCGAAGAAAGAGAUGGAAAAAAAACUCGGGAUUCAAAUUGAUCGUAACUUCCAUUUUUUGAAAGAGGACAAAAUAUGUUACAAGGAUACACGCUGUUCCUUUCCUGAUCCAUCAUUAUACGUUAUAACAAGACAUAAUAGAAACAAAGUAAUCUGUUUAACGGGAAAGAAGAAAGGAAGGAAUGUUUUUUAAAAAAAUUUGGUAAAAAAUCCGAAGAAGAAGAAGAAAACGAUCACGAUGAAAGAUGAACAUAACUUUCUUAGCGAUCGUAGCACUGUUGGAAUUCGAUGUUGGUGCUUCUAUUUAAUCCUUUGCAACCGAGUGUGUCGGCAAAUAGCCGUCCAAGUCUCGUUCCCGUCAUGGACGCUUGUCGGCAAAUAGCCAUCCAAGGCUUUUUCUCCUCGCGGACGCGUGUCGGCAAAUAGCCACCUAAGUCUGUACAGUUACUAACACGUAUUUAAAAGUGGCUAACGUACGUCUUUCUUUCUGAGUGAUAAGAUACGCAUUGAGUAUGGUAAACUAAACGGGAUAGUCUCUCGUCGAUCGAUGCCGGCUGCAAAAAAUAUUUAAACUUACCACAUGUCCGAAGGAUUGCACGAAGGAAGGAUUUGCACAAGAAUACCAUGAAAGCUUAUGCUUAGGAUGUAAUGAGAAAAGAUCAAACGUCGAUACCAUGCAAUCUACCGUAAAUUUACAUUGCUGCUGGGGCAAAGAGUGACUAUACAGCUUGAUUGUCCGUGAAUUUGCCCAAUAUUCCUACUGAUCCUAAUAGCAUAUAUACCGAGUAGGUUUUUUUAGAAGCUUGUAUUAAGUACCAUUAAUAUUAUUACUGUUACGUUAUUUUCAUUAAUUGGUGCAUUUUAUGAAAAGGUACGAACAGUACAAACAGAUUCGUUAGAUCAAGAAUUGCUUAAAGUAGAAAGUUCUUUCGUAAAAUAUUGAUCCACCGAUGGUCGAUUUUGUACUGACAUCUACUGUUAUUAGCAGAUUUAGAAGAAAAUGAUGAUUCCAAUUGAAUGGCAAAAGAACCAAAUUUUAUUCCAUAAAACAUUUUCAAAUUCUAUUGAAGAAGAAUUAGUAAAGCUUUAUGAUUUCAAGGAGCUGAAAAAGAUUAUGUUGGAAAUAGAAAAAUAAAGUGGAGUACCUAUAAUAUUGACUGGUAUCAUAGGCUCUGUCGAAUCUGAUCCAGAAUAUCAAUUGAUCAUUGAAGCAAUUGAUAUACCAGUUGAAGGAUCUGGAAAUAGUUCAUCCGCAAGCUGCAGAAGAAAAAGUAAAUGAACUCAAUGUUAAAUACUUAUCAAAUAAUUUAUUCAAAAUAAAUCUUAAUGGAAAUUUCUGUUAUAUAUAUAUAUAUAUAUAUAUAUAUAUAUAUAUAUAUAUAUAUAUAAACUUUAUUAGAUUUAGAAAUAUUAUUAUUUAACAUUUAAACAAAAACUUGAUAUUCUUUUAUCUCUGACAUUGUUCAUGUAAGCGCAAAUACUAUCAAAUAAUUUAUUUAUGUCUUUUUAGGCAAUCUAAUAAUAAAUGAAGCAAUAAAAGUUUCAGACUGAUUCACUUUAGUGUGCGUGCUUGCGUGCGUGUGUGCGUGCGUGCGUGUGUGUGUGAGAGAGUACACAUUUUUUUUCAGGAAAAAGCAUGCAUACAAUAGAAUUCUUGAUUGCCAUCCGAAUACAUUGACUUUUUUACAUGAAGUCACAAUUAGUAAAUCACAAUGGUAGACGAUUGCAACAUCUUUAAAAGAAUCAAAAUAUCUUAAGUAACAAUAUUUCGUGAAUCAUUAUAUAAUAUCGAACAUACUUCUUUAGAGAUGGGUAGAGAUAUGCAGCAAUAAAAAAAAGAAAUACAAACUAAAUUUAACUUUGAUUUUGUUAUAU